RNAcentral lists this long non-coding RNA (283 nucleotides) under Elaeis guineensis (African oil palm). RNAcentral's name for it is "long non-coding RNA (EGUI_LNC008016)". Lineage: Eukaryota; Viridiplantae; Streptophyta; Magnoliopsida; Arecales; Arecaceae. The record is from RNAcentral.
GGUGGAUGGAGGGGGUGCUAGGGACAGCUUUUGGGAAAGGAGUGAGGACCAUAUGCGCAUGGAGUAACUGCAUGUGAGGAAGAGGUGGUCAGCAGUUUCCUCAGCUUGAUAACAGAGCACACCUUGCGGAGGAGCAGGGAAGUUCCGCUUCUUGAGAUUUUCUGCUAUGAAGAUUUUAUUAUGAAAGACUAACCAGUUGAACACCUUGAUCCUUGAUAGAAUCGGCAUUCUCAAGUUAACCUUGGAAAAGCUUGAGAGAAUACCUCCAUGACUUAGGGAUGAC